AAGAUUUAUCGGUGAAGGAUUAGCCCGCGUCUGAUUAGAUAGUUGGUGGGGUAACGGCCUACCAAGUCGACGAUCAGUAGCUGGUUUGAGAGGAUGAUCAGCAACACUGGGACUGAGACACGGCCCAGACUCCUACGGGAGGCAGCAGUGGGGAAUCUUAGACAAUGGGCGCAAGUGAUCUAGCCAUGCCGCGUGAGUGACGAAGGCCUUAGGGUCGUAAAGCUCUUUCGCCAGGGAUGAUAAUGACAGUACCUGGUAAAGAAACCCCGGCUAACUCCGUGCCAGCAGCCGCGGUAAUACGGAGGGGGUUAGCGUUGUUCGGAAUUACUGGGCGUAAAGCGCGCGUAGCGGAUUGGAAAGUUGGGGGUGAAAUCCCGGGGCUCAACCCCGAACUGCCUCCAAAACUAUCAGUCUAGAGUUCGAGAGAGGUGAGUGGAAUUCCAAGUGUAGAGGUGAAAUUCGUAGAUAUUUGGAGGAACACCAGUGGCGAAGGGGCUCACUGGCUCGAUACUGACGCUGAGGUGCGAAAGUGUGGGGAGCAAACAGGAUUAGAUACCCUGGUAGUCCACACCGUAAACGAUGAAUGCCAGACGUCGGGGGGCUUGC
Molecule: ribosomal RNA, 606 nt
Filed under: uncultured bacterium
Lineage: Bacteria
Description: bacterial SSU rRNA
Rfam family: Bacterial small subunit ribosomal RNA
Source: RNAcentral